Non-coding RNA from Gossypium raimondii (Peruvian cotton), 107 nucleotides. The record is from Rfam. NCBI's taxonomy places the organism in Eukaryota, Viridiplantae, Streptophyta, Magnoliopsida, Malvales, Malvaceae.
AUCCCAUGAUGAGGACACUUACGAAGCAAUUCCUUGAAUCUUUCCCACAUCCCGUAUAAGGACUCGUCUUCCAAUUAUUGGAAAGUAGUUAUCUCAUUACGCAAUUU